Long non-coding RNA from Vicia villosa (hairy vetch), 340 nucleotides. RefSeq lists it as uncharacterized. The record is from RefSeq and is a predicted model, not a curated record. NCBI's taxonomy places the organism in Eukaryota, Viridiplantae, Streptophyta, Magnoliopsida, Fabales, Fabaceae. The transcript has 3 exons.
GUAAUACAAUGUCUUUUAGCACUUUAAUUUGUUUUUCUAACCCUAGCAGACCUCCACCUUCCCUCACACUCUUCUCAUCAUUCACCACCGAUCCCUCACACUCUUAAAAGUGGCGGUCAAGGUGGCAUGGAUAGAGUGUUAGAGCAGGGCCAAUGUAACCGUAUUAAUCCUAACAGGCAGCUUUGGAAGCAGCGAGAGUUCUGAAUCUUAAGAGCAAUAAAAAUUUCUCAGGACCAUAUGAUGAACAUGUCAUUUUUGUUGCUAAUGAUUCGCACACCGCUCUUAUCUCAUGCUACAUGAAAUCCAUGUACCAAUCAAUUGGUAUCUUUAUGAAUGCCCA